RNAcentral lists this transfer RNA (84 nucleotides) under Sulfurovum sp. Its description in RNAcentral is "tRNA-Leu". It matches the Rfam family "tRNA". Rfam says of the family: Transfer RNA (tRNA) molecules are approximately 80 nucleotides in length. Their secondary structure includes four short double-helical elements and three loops (D, anti-codon, and T loops). Lineage: Bacteria; Pseudomonadati; Campylobacterota; Epsilonproteobacteria; Campylobacterales; Sulfurovaceae. The record is from RNAcentral.
GCACCAGUGGUGGAACGGUAGACACGCGGGCUUGAGGGGCUCGUGCCUUAGGGCGUGGAAGUUCAAAUCUUCUCUGGUGCACCA